UUUAGAGGAAGUGAAAGUCGUAACAAGGUUUCCGUAGGUGAACCUGCGGAAGGAUCAUUUCCGAAAACAACUCUUACAAACCAAUCUUGUGAAAUGUUUUGGGUUUUUUACUCCGAGAGGUAGGGCUUAGUUGCUGUAAUAGUGGUAACACCAGUAGUGCCAGUGGGUAUCUACAGUUGCCCUCCUAUUAUGCAAUGCUUGACGCCCUACUCCUCUCGGAGGCCAUGAUGAACUACCUUCGGGUUGAUGGUAUCGUUCCUUCUCCAUGUUGUUUAAUACAACAAAAGAAAUAAAAUGAUACGACAACUUUUAACGGUGGAUCUCUUGGCUCGU
This 333-nucleotide unclassified non-coding RNA is filed under the name fungal sp. RNAcentral describes it as "partial internal transcribed spacer region". The stretch from base 1 to 60 matches the Rfam family "Eukaryotic small subunit ribosomal RNA", at positions 1772 to 1831 of the family's 1831-position model. The record is from RNAcentral. Lineage: Eukaryota; Fungi.